Molecule: small nuclear RNA, 102 nt
Filed under: Nannospalax galili (Upper Galilee mountains blind mole rat)
Lineage: Eukaryota; Metazoa; Chordata; Mammalia; Rodentia; Spalacidae
Source: RNAcentral
UUGCUCUUGUCAUGCACAAGUCUUAAACUUGAAGAGACACAAAGAUUAGCAUGGUUCCUAUUCAAGGAUGGCAUGCAAAUUCAUGACUGUUGCAUAGUUCCC